GGUUAAGCGACUAAGCGUACACGGUGGAUGCCCUGGCAGUCAGAGGCGAUGAAGGACGUGCUAAUCUGCGAUAAGCGUCGGUAAGGUGAUAUGAACCGUUAUAACCGGCGAUUUCCGAAUGGGGAAACCCAGUGUGUUUCGACACACUAUCAUUAACUGAAUCCAUAGGUUAAUGAGGCGAACCGGGGGAACUGAAACAUCUAAGUACCCCGAGGAAAAGAAAUCAACCGAGAUUCCCCCAGUAGCGGCGAGCGAACGGGGAGCAGCCCAGAGCCUGAAUCAGUGUGUGUGUUAGUGGAAGCGUCUGGAAAGGCGCGCGAUACAGGGUGACAGCCCCGUACACAAAAAUGCACAUGCUGUGAGCUCGAUGAGUAGGGCGGGACACGUGGUAUCCUGUCUGAAUAUGGGGGGACCAUCCUCCAAGGCUAAAUACUCCUGACUGACCGAUAGUGAACCAGUACCGUGAGGGAAAGGCGAAAAGAACCCCGGCGAGGGGAGUGAAAAAGAACCUGAAACCGUGUACGUACAAGCAGUGGGAGCACGCUUAGGCGUGUGACUGCGUACCUUUUGUAUAAUGGGUCAGCGACUUAUAUUCUGUAGCAAGGUUAACCGAAUAGGGGAGCCGAAGGGAAACCGAGUCUUAACUGGGCGUUAAGUUGCAGGGUAUAGACCCGAAACCCGGUGAUCUAGCCAUGGGCAGGUUGAAGGUUGGGUAACACUAACUGGAGGACCGAACCGACUAAUGUUGAAAAAUUAGCGGAUGACUUGUGGCUGGGGGUGAAAGGCCAAUCAAACCGGGAGAUAGCUGGUUCUCCCCGAAAGCUAUUUAGGUAGCGCCUCGUGAAUUCAUCUCCGGGGGUAGAGCACUGUUUCGGCAAGGGGGUCAUCCCGACUUACCAACCCGAUGCAAACUGCGAAUACCGGAGAAUGUUAUCACGGGAGACACACGGCGGGUGCUAACGUCCGUCGUGAAGAGGGAAACAACCCAGACCGCCAGCUAAGGUCCCAAAGUCAUGGUUAAGUGGGAAACGAUGUGGGAAGGCCCAGACAGCCAGGAUGUUGGCUUAGAAGCAGCCAUCAUUUAAAGAAAGCGUAAUAGCUCACUGGUCGAGUCGGCCUGCGCGGAAGAUGUAACGGGGCUAAACCAUGCACCGAAGCUGCGGCAGCGACACUGUGUGUUGUUGGGUAGGGGAGCGUUCUGUAAGCCUGUGAAGGUGUGCUGUGAGGCAUGCUGGAGGUAUCAGAAGUGCGAAUGCUGACAUAAGUAACGAUAAAGCGGGUGAAAAGCCCGCUCGCCGGAAGACCAAGGGUUCCUGUCCAACGUUAAUCGGGGCAGGGUGAGUCGACCCCUAAGGCGAGGCCGAAAGGCGUAGUCGAUGGGAAACAGGUUAAUAUUCCUGUACUUGGUGUUACUGCGAAGGGGGGACGGAGAAGGCUAUGUUGGCCGGGCGACGGUUGUCCCGGUUUAAGCGUGUAGGCUGGUUUUCCAGGCAAAUCCGGAAAAUCAAGGCUGAGGCGUGAUGACGAGGCACUACGGUGCUGAAGCAACAAAUGCCCUGCUUCCAGGAAAAGCCUCUAAGCAUCAGGUAACAUCAAAUCGUACCCCAAACCGACACAGGUGGUCAGGUAGAGAAUACCAAGGCGCUUGAGAGAACUCGGGUGAAGGAACUAGGCAAAAUGGUGCCGUAACUUCGGGAGAAGGCACGCUGAUAUGUAGGUGAAGUCCCUCGCGGAUGGAGCUGAAAUCAGUCGAAGAUACCAGCUGGCUGCAACUGUUUAUUAAAAACACAGCACUGUGCAAACACGAAAGUGGACGUAUACGGUGUGACGCCUGCCCGGUGCCGGAAGGUUAAUUGAUGGGGUCAGCGCAAGCGAAGCUCUUGAUCGAAGCCCCGGUAAACGGCGGCCGUAACUAUAACGGUCCUAAGGUAGCGAAAUUCCUUGUCGGGUAAGUUCCGACCUGCACGAAUGGCGUAAUGAUGGCCAGGCUGUCUCCACCCGAGACUCAGUGAAAUUGAACUCGCUGUGAAGAUGCAGUGUACCCGCGGCAAGACGGAAAGACCCCGUGAACCUUUACUAUAGCUUGACACUGAACAUUGAGCCUUGAUGUGUAGGAUAGGUGGGAGGCUUUGAAGUGUGGACGCCAGUCUGCAUGGAGCCGACCUUGAAAUACCACCCUUUAAUGUUUGAUGUUCUAACGUUGACCCGUGAUCCGGGUUGCGGACAGUGUCUGGUGGGUAGUUUGACUGGGGCGGUCUCCUCCUAAAGAGUAACGGAGGAGCACGAAGGUUGGCUAAUCCUGGUCGGACAUCAGGAGGUUAGUGCAAUGGCAUAAGCCAGCUUGACUGCGAGCGUGACGGCGCGAGCAGGUGCGAAAGCAGGUCAUAGUGAUCCGGUGGUUCUGAAUGGAAGGGCCAUCGCUCAACGGAUAAAAGGUACUCCGGGGAUAACAGGCUGAUACCGCCCAAGAGUUCAUAUCGACGGCGGUGUUUGGCACCUCGAUGUCGGCUCAUCACAUCCUGGGGCUGAAGUAGGUCCCAAGGGUAUGGCUGUUCGCCAUUUAAAGUGGUACGCGAGCUGGGUUUAGAACGUCGUGAGACAGUUCGGUCCCUAUCUGCCGUGGGCGCUGGAGAACUGAGGGGGGCUGCUCCUAGUACGAGAGGACCGGAGUGGACGCAUCACUGGUGUUCGGGUUGUCAUGCCAAUGGCACUGCCCGGUAGCUAAAUGCGGAAGAGAUAAGUGCUGAAAGCAUCUAAGCACGAAACUUGCCCCGAGAUGAGUUCUCCCUGACUCCUUGAGAGUCCUGAAGGAACGUUGAAGACGACGACGUUGAUAGGCCGGGUGUGUAAGCGCAGCGAUGCGUUGAGCUAACCGGUACUAAUGAACCGUGAGGCUUAACCUU
Molecule: ribosomal RNA, 2903 nt
Filed under: Escherichia coli
Lineage: Bacteria; Pseudomonadati; Pseudomonadota; Gammaproteobacteria; Enterobacterales; Enterobacteriaceae
Description: 23S ribosomal RNA
Rfam family: Bacterial large subunit ribosomal RNA
Source: RNAcentral